RNAcentral lists this transfer RNA (76 nucleotides) under Rhoptropus diporus. RNAcentral describes it as "tRNA-Asn". The record is from RNAcentral. Lineage: Eukaryota; Metazoa; Chordata; Lepidosauria; Squamata; Gekkonidae.
UCUGGGCAAGUGGGCCUCGAUCCCACAACAAAUUCUAGUUAACAACUAAACGUCCAAUCCAGCGGACCUUAACCCA